This 299-nucleotide ribosomal RNA is filed under the name uncultured bacterium. RNAcentral's name for it is "partial 16S ribosomal RNA". It matches the Rfam family "Bacterial small subunit ribosomal RNA", at positions 28 to 334 of the family's 1533-position model. The record is from RNAcentral.
GAUAAACGCUGGCGGCAUGCCUAAUACAUGCAAGUGGAACAAGUCAUUUCGGUGGUUAGUGGCGGACGGGUGAGUAACACGUGAGUAAUCUGCCCUCCAGAGGGGAAUAACGUUUGGAAACGAACGCUAAUACCGCAUAACGUACGGUCCUCACAUGGGGACUGUACCAAAGAUUUUUAUCGCUGGAAGAUGAGCUCGCGGCCGAUUAGGUAGUUGGUGAGAUAACAGCCCACCAAGCCGACGAUCGGUAGCCGAACUGAGAGGUUGAUCGGCCACAUUGGGACUGAGACACGGCCCAG